This is a long non-coding RNA of Lycium barbarum (goji berry), 783 nucleotides long. RefSeq lists it as uncharacterized. NCBI's taxonomy places the organism in Eukaryota, Viridiplantae, Streptophyta, Magnoliopsida, Solanales, Solanaceae. The transcript is spliced from 4 exons. The record is from RefSeq and is a predicted model, not a curated record.
GUCGUAUUCAGGCAUCUUUAGGAAAAUCUGUUAUGAACAGGUUCCAAAUAGAGAUAAAGGAACUAGGACUAUAUUAUAUGAAGAAUUUCGUGGUUGGCCCGAAUAAACUAAAAUAUAAGACCAACGAUCACCAAUUUAAGCUAAUGUUCACCCAUAGAACGAGUGUGGAGGAAACAAUUGAUGCACACUUUGGUAUGGAAGUCUUCAAUUUUUGACCAUUUGAGCACUUGAUAAAUCAAGUGAAUGUUGAGGAUACUAAACUAUUCGAUGUCAUAGGAGAGAUUGUUAGUUACGGACCUAUACAAGAAUACAAGCAAGGUGAUAAGUCCAGCGCUUUUAUGAAUGUUGAACUCCAAGAUCAUGAGAAUAAUAAUAUUUCAGCUACUUUUGGGGGGGAAUUUGUGGAGCAAAUCAUGCCACACUUGGAUACUUCUAUCGAAAAGUUUGUCAUUGUGGUUAUGCAGCUAAUACGAUCUUAUAAGUUUCAAGGUUUUCAGCUAAUUCUGAUGUACAUUGGGUUCUCUUUUGUGUAUAUUUAACAUAUGAUUAAAUAUAUAGAUAAACGGUUGCAGGUAAAUAUUCUGUACGUAAUUCUUGGCAUGCUUCGAAACUCUGGAUUAAUCCAGAUUUGCCUCAAGUUGCAGAAUUUAGUUCCAGAUUGGAAAAUGUGCGUGGGGAGAAAUCCGAGAGGAUUUCUCAAAUAUCCUCUCAACGUAAUUAUUCUGCUGCAAAAGAGUUGGCUUCUGGAAUGGCUCAAGUUAAAACAAUCAGAAACUUGGUUGA